UUGUUACAAUCUCAGGAUUUGUUUUCUGUUAUGCUUGCAUAUUCAAAUAUUUAUCUCAGGUAAGGAAUCUAGUUCCAUUCUCUAUCAAUAUCCAUAUUUCUGCUUCAAGCUUGGUUUUCCUCUCAAUUCUCCUGCCCUACUUGGCCAAAAUAUACUUAUUCCAUGAUCCCAUUUUAUUGCAUUGCUGCAGUAUAACCGCUGCCCAGUCACAUUGAUGCCAGCAAACGUUGAUCAGAUAAGGAGGUUGUUCCAUGAUAUGUAGAGACGUGGAGAUACUGUAGGAGAUAAAUCCACAUAGUUUUAUACAAAAGGUUCAGUGAAGCAGGCAAAGCCAUUGCAAGCUAAGCAAAAUAAUGUACAAUUUGCAGUCGUUCUAAACCCCCCAUUCAUUUCAGCAGCAAUCCAUGUGACAUAGUCCUACCAGGACCGUACUUGACCCCUCUAUUUCUGCAGGCAAAUAAUAGAAGUCACCUAUUUACAAUUGUAAAUUAUCAAGGUCUUUUUCCCAUUCUCUCGUUUUUUUUUUUUCCCUUGUUUUUUCACUCUGGACAUGCAUCUCAGCAACUCAGUGCUAAAUAAACAACACAAUACAAAGCCGUGCUAAUGGACGUUAUGCUUGCAAGACUACUGUUUCUCUAGUUACUAGCACUAGAAAGU
This 657-nucleotide long non-coding RNA is filed under the name Populus tremula. RNAcentral describes it as "long non-coding RNA (PTRE_LNC001682)". The record is from RNAcentral. Lineage: Eukaryota; Viridiplantae; Streptophyta; Magnoliopsida; Malpighiales; Salicaceae.